RNAcentral lists this ribosomal RNA (826 nucleotides) under Eleutherodactylus erythrochomus. RNAcentral's name for it is "partial 12S ribosomal RNA". It matches the Rfam family "Bacterial small subunit ribosomal RNA", at positions 399 to 1447 of the family's 1533-position model. The record is from RNAcentral. Lineage: Eukaryota; Metazoa; Chordata; Amphibia; Anura; Eleutherodactylidae.
ACCCCUGUGAAAACGCCCCUAACUUCUCCUGCACUUAGGGAGCAGGUAUCAGGCACAAUUAAAAGCCCAAGACACCUAGCCAUGCCACACCCACAAGGGCCCUCAGCAGUGACUAACAUUGAACAUUAGCGCCAGCUUGAUUCAGUCAAAGUAACUAGAGCCGGCAAAUCCGGUGCCAGCCGCCGCGGCUACACCGGGGACUCAAAUUGAUUAUUUCCGACGUAAAGCGUGAUUAAUCAGUCUCAUAAAUUAAGGCUAAAAUCAGAUUAGACCGUUAAACACUUAUCUGCCUGCACCCACUAACGAAAGUCACCUUAUAUAACCCAACCUGAACACACGAAAGCAGGGACACAAACUGGGAUUAGAUACCCCACUAUGCCCUGCCGUAAACUUUAACUUACACCUUAAUCGUCAGGGAACUACAAGCAAAGCUUAAAACCCAAAGGACUUGACGGUACCCCAACCCCCCUAGAGGAGCCUGUCCAAUAAUCGAUAAUCCCCGCUUAACCUCACCACAACUAGCCUAUCAGCCUGUAUACUUCCGUCGUCAGCUUACCACGUGAGCGAAACCUAGUUAGCCCAACGUCCACAUAACCCCAUCGUCAACACGUCAGGUCAAAGUGCAGCAAAUGUUGUGGGAUGCGAUUGGCUACACUUUUUAGUCUAAAAAACACGAAAAACAAAAUGAAACCUUGUUAGAAGGCGGAUUUAGCAGUAAAAAGAAAACAUCAUACUCACUUUAACCCGGCACUGGGGUGUGUACACACCGCCCGUCACCCUCUUCAAAUAUGUAAUCUUAGUACUUAACCUCAUAACCCCCACCCAA